This 23-nucleotide microRNA is filed under the name Bos taurus (domestic cattle). RNAcentral describes it as "bta-miR-2450b". The record is from miRBase by way of RNAcentral. Lineage: Eukaryota; Metazoa; Chordata; Mammalia; Artiodactyla; Bovidae.
CAUGGUCAGUAGAGGUGCAUGUG